GGGUUGUGAGGUUAAGCGACUAAGCGUACACGGUGGAUGCCCUGGCAGUCAGAGGCGAUGAAGGGCGUGCUAAUCUGCGAUAAGCGCCGGUAAGGUGAUAUGAACCGUUAUAACCGGCGAUACCCGAAUGGGGAAACCCAGUGUGACUCGUCACACUAUCAUUAACUGAAUCCAUAGGUUAAUGAGGCGAACCGGGGGAACUGAAACAUCUAAGUACCCCGAGGAAAAGAAAUCAACCGAGAUUCCCCCAGUAGCGGCGAGCGAACGGGGAGGAGCCCAGAGCCUGAAUCAGCAUGUGUGUUAGUGGAAGCGUCUGGAAAGGCGCGCGAUACAGGGUGACAGCCCCGUACACAAAAGCGCAUGUGCUGUGAGCUCGAUGAGUAGGGCGGGACACGUGGUAUCCUGUCUGAAUAUGGGGGGACCAUCCUCCAAGGCUAAAUACUCCUGACUGACCGAUAGUGAACCAGUACCGUGAGGGAAAGGCGAAAAGAACCCCGGCGAGGGGAGUGAAAAAGAACCUGAAACCGUGUACGUACAAGCAGUGGGAGCCCCACCACUAAGCCAGUGGUGAACUCCACAUACGCAUCCUUUGCUGAGGAUACGGUUAACGGAGCGCAAGCGACGUUCAACCGCAAAAGAAGCAGAGGGGGCUUAGUGGUGGGGUGACUGCGUACCUUUUGUAUAAUGGGUCAGCGACUUAUAUUCUGUAGCAAGGUUAACCGUAUAGGGGAGCCGCAGGGAAACCGAGUCUUAAUUGGGCGUUAAGUUGCAGGGUAUAGACCCGAAACCCGGUGAUCUAGCCAUGGGCAGGUUGAAGGUUGGGUAACACUAACUGGAGGACCGAACCGACUAAUGUUGAAAAAUUAGCGGAUGACCUGUGGCUGGGGGUGAAAGGCCAAUCAAACCGGGAGAUAGCUGGUUCUCCCCGAAAGCUAUUUAGGUAGCGCCUCGUGAAUUCAUCUCCGGGGGUAGAGCACUGUUUCGGCUAGGGGGCCAUCCCGGCUUACCAACCCGAUGCAAACUGCGAAUACCGGAGAAUGUUAUCACGGGAGACACACGGCGGGUGCUAACGUCCGUCGUGAAGAGGGAAACAACCCAGACCGCCAGCUAAGGUCCCAAAGUCAUGGUUAAGUGGGAAACGAUGUGGGAAGGCCCAGACAGCCAGGAUGUUGGCUUAGAAGCAGCCAUCAUUUAAAGAAAGCGUAAUAGCUCACUGGUCGAGUCGGCCUGCGCGGAAGAUGUAACGGGGCUAAACCAUGCACCGAAGCUGCGGCAGCGAACGUAUCACUUAAAGCGAUUCAGCGGGUUACGAUUGACGGAGCGAAGCGACGUCAAAGCGUAUACAAAGUCGAGUCGGUUUAAGGAUACGUUCGUUGGGUAGGGGAGCGUUCUGUAAGCCUGUGAAGGUGGCCUGUGAGGGUUGCUGGAGGUAUCAGAAGUGCGAAUGCUGACAUAAGUAACGAUAAAGCGGGUGAAAAGCCCGCUCGCCGGAAGACCAA
Molecule: ribosomal RNA, 1499 nt
Filed under: Salmonella enterica subsp. enterica serovar Derby
Lineage: Bacteria; Pseudomonadati; Pseudomonadota; Gammaproteobacteria; Enterobacterales; Enterobacteriaceae
Description: partial 23S ribosomal RNA
Rfam family: Bacterial large subunit ribosomal RNA
Source: RNAcentral